This 494-nucleotide ribosomal RNA is filed under the name uncultured bacterium. RNAcentral describes it as "bacterial SSU rRNA". It matches the Rfam family "Bacterial small subunit ribosomal RNA", at positions 28 to 517 of the family's 1533-position model. The record is from RNAcentral.
GAUGAACGCUGGCGGCGUGCUUAACACAUGCAAGUCGAACGGAACUUGUCUGAUAGAGGAUUCGUCCAAUUGAUUACAAGUUUAGUGGCGGACGGGUGAGUAACGCGUGAGGAACCUGCCUUGGAGUGGGGAAUAACACAGUGAAAAUUGUGCUAAUACCGCAUAAUGCAGUUGAGUCGCAUGGCUCUGACUGCCAAAGAUUUAUCGCUCUAAGAUGGCCUCGCGUCUGAUUAGCUAGUUGGUAGGGUAACGGCCUACCAAGGCGACGAUCAGUAGCCGGACUGAGAGGUUGGCCGGCCACAUUGGGACUGAGACACGGCCCAGACUCCUACGGGAGGCAGCAGUGGGGAAUAUUGGGCAAUGGGCGCAAGCCUGACCCAGCAACGCCGCGUGAAGGAAGAAGGCUUUCGGGUUGUAAACGUUACUUUUGUCAGGGACGAAGUAAAUGACGGUACCUGACGAAUAAGCCACGGCUAACUACGUGCCAGCAGCCG